Molecule: long non-coding RNA, 1072 nt
Filed under: Musa acuminata (dwarf banana)
Lineage: Eukaryota; Viridiplantae; Streptophyta; Magnoliopsida; Zingiberales; Musaceae
Description: long non-coding RNA (MACU_LNC001437)
Source: RNAcentral
UAUAUAUGUUGUGGCAAACUAUGGUGAGAUAAUUGAUAUUACUAAUGCGAGGAAACAUAGAGGGAAACUUAAGAAGACUUUAUUUAAAGUUAUAAACAGUGAUUUGAAUACUCUUGAUUCAACUAAGGAUUUUGCAGUGUACAAAGCAUAAAUGGUGAAAAAGAUUCAUGUAGUUGAUCUCAAAUAGUUUGGACAUCUCAAAUACUUUUAUUUUUUUGUCUAAGUGGCCAAGCAUGAUUCUAUAACUUGUGUAAUGGGUAAAGUUGGUGGAAUCACCCUUCUCUAUUUUCUUUUGGUUCAUCUAUUUUGCUAUUAAAAUUAAGUUUUCUAUUUUUUUAACAACACAUCUUUGAUCGAGAGACAAUAUAUUGUUUGCUGGUAUAUUUUGACAAAGUAAAAAAUCUCCUGUCCAAUUUAAAACAAUUAAACCUGUCACGACCCGAGUCUGAUGAGCCAACUGGCCAAUAACUCCAUUUUGGUCCUUCAACCACGGACUAAAAUGCUUAAGCGGGAGUUAACGUAGUACACUCAUCAGGCCCAUAUAAGCCAAUCAUACACAUUGCCCACUUCCGAUGUGGGACUGAUGGGAUGUUAUAAUAUCCCCAACUCAAUUAGCUUGACGUCCUUGUCAAGGCCUGACAUAACCCAGAUCGAACCCUAACAUAGUGCAUGUGAGGUUUAACUCAGUGGUGGCUCCACGCCGUGAUGAGUUCUCGACUCCAUCCACGGGUAGCCCUUUCCUACUCGAGCCCUCUCACCCUGCCCAAAUGUUAGGUCGGCUUUGAUACCAAAUGUCACGACCCGAGUCUGAUGAGCCAACUGGCCAAUAACUCCAUUUUGGUCCUUUAACCACGGACCAAAAUGCUUAAGCGGGAGUUAACGUAGUACACUCAUCAGGCCCAUAUAAGCCAAUCAUACACAUUGCCCACUUCCGAUGUGGGACUGAUGGGAUGUUACAAAACCUAAGAAAGAUAAAAGUGAUGUGUUUCAUAUUUGACUUUUUUCUUUUAUUUCAUGACAGGUUACUGCAGCUCUAAGAGAAGGAGCUAAUGGUGUCAUGGUUGGUCGUGCU